AACGAACGCUGGCGGCAUGCCUAACACAUGCAAGUCGAACGAGAUCUUCGGGUCUAGUGGCGCACGGGUGCGUAACGCGUGGGAAUCUGCCCUUUGGUUCGGAAUAACAGUUGGAAACGACUGCUAAUACCGGAUGAUGACGAAAGUCCAAAGAUUUAUCGCCAGAGGAUGAGCCCGCGUGGGAUUAGCUAGUUGGUGUGGUAAAGGCGCACCAAGGCGACGAUCCUUAGCUGGUCUGAGAGGAUGAUCAGCCACACUGGGACUGAGACACGGCCCAGACUCCUACGGGAGGCAGCAGUGGGGAAUAUUGGAAAAUGGGCGAAAGCCUGAUCCAGCAAUGCCGCGUGAGUGAUGAAGGCCUUAGGGUUGUAAAGCUCUUUUACCCGGGAUGAUAAUGACAGUACCGGGAGAAUAAGCUCCGGCUAACUCCGUGCCAGCAGCCGCCGUAA
Molecule: ribosomal RNA, 449 nt
Filed under: uncultured bacterium
Lineage: Bacteria
Description: partial 16S ribosomal RNA
Rfam family: Bacterial small subunit ribosomal RNA
Source: RNAcentral